This 343-nucleotide ribosomal RNA is filed under the name uncultured bacterium. RNAcentral's name for it is "bacterial SSU rRNA". It matches the Rfam family "Bacterial small subunit ribosomal RNA", at positions 8 to 334 of the family's 1533-position model. The record is from RNAcentral.
AGAGUUCGAUCCUGGCUCAGGACGAACGCUGGCGGCGUGCUUAACACAUGCAAGUCGAACGAGAAGCUUAUGAAUGAUUCUUCGGAAGAUUUCAUAAGUGGAAAGUGGCGAACGGGUGAGUAACGCGUAGGUAACCAACCUCAUACAGGGGGAUAGCCCAGGGAAACUUGGAUUAAACCCGCAUAAGACCACGCUAUCGCAUGAUAAAGUGGUAAAAACUCCGGUGGUAUGAGACGGACCUGCGUCUUAUUAGGUAGUUGGUGAGGUAACGGCUCACCAAGCCGACGAUGAGUAGCCGACCUGAGAGGGUGAUCGGCCACAUUGGGACUGAGACACGGCCCAG